RNAcentral lists this ribosomal RNA (232 nucleotides) under uncultured bacterium. Its description in RNAcentral is "partial 16S ribosomal RNA". It matches the Rfam family "Bacterial small subunit ribosomal RNA", at positions 15 to 240 of the family's 1533-position model. The record is from RNAcentral.
GGUCAUGGCUCAGGAUGAACGCUAGCGGCAGGCUUAACACAUGCAAGUCGAGGGGCAGCAUAAUGGAUAGCAAUAUCUAUGGUGGCGACCGGCGCACGGGUGCGUAACGCGUAUGCAACCUACCUUUAACAGGGGGAUAACACUGAGAAAUUGGUACUAAUACCCCAUAAUAUCAUAGAAGGCAUCUUUUAUGGUUGAAAAUUCCGAUGGUUAGAGAUGGGCAUGCGUUGUA